AGGAAACUGUUUAGUCCAACC
This 21-nucleotide microRNA is filed under the name Solanum lycopersicum (tomato). Its description in RNAcentral is "sly-miR319d". Its record names the gene sly-miR319d. The record is from miRBase by way of RNAcentral. RNAcentral also lists the same sequence under 1 other name. Lineage: Eukaryota; Viridiplantae; Streptophyta; Magnoliopsida; Solanales; Solanaceae.